GACGAAUUAAGUAGAAGUUAGAGAAAGGCGGUGAAGGAAAAACCCUCGUUUAGGCCAGCAGGGGAGAGGGUCUUGAGUUUGUAAAUCCAAUAGGAUUCACGUUGCCUCAAUUUCUUAUCCCAAUCGCCCUUACGUUGAGUUUGUGGGAUAUAUUCUAUUCCCAUAAACUUUAGUUUAUUGGCAGAAUUUGAAUGGUGAAUUCUCAAAUGGCGUGAGAUUGGAGUUUCUAAGGGUCUUCUGACCGAAUUUACAUGUUCCCUAAUCCUUAAUUUGAAGGGUCUAAACGUCUUUCCCACAUACUUGAUGCCACAUGAACAGGUGAGUAAAUAGAUGACCCCCUCCGUCCUACAAUUAACAAACGAACGGACUGGAAAGGUUUCUCUAUUGUUGCUGUCCGUGAAUUCCUUAGAUUUUUGAUCAAUGAAU
Molecule: non-coding RNA, 426 nt
Organism: Pelobates cultripes (western spadefoot toad)
Lineage: Eukaryota; Metazoa; Chordata; Amphibia; Anura; Pelobatidae
Source: the annotation of a GenBank genome assembly